GAAACGGGUCAAUAUUCCCGUACCGGACAUGAUUGCGAUGGGGGGACGGAGAAGGCUAGGUGAGCCAGGCGUUGGUUGUCCUGGUGAAAGUGAGUAGGCUUGGGUCUUAGGUAAAUCCGGGACCCUUCAAGGCCGAGACACGAAACGAAGACACUACGGUGUCGAAGUCAUUGAUGCCACGCUUCCAGGAAAAGCCUCUAAGCUUCAGAUCAUGUGCGACCGUACCCCAAACCGACACAGGUGGUCAGGGUGAGA
RNAcentral lists this ribosomal RNA (255 nucleotides) under Halomonas sp. 15WGF. RNAcentral's name for it is "partial 23S ribosomal RNA". It matches the Rfam family "Bacterial large subunit ribosomal RNA", at positions 1422 to 1677 of the family's 2925-position model. The record is from RNAcentral. Lineage: Bacteria; Pseudomonadati; Pseudomonadota; Gammaproteobacteria; Oceanospirillales; Halomonadaceae.